Molecule: ribosomal RNA, 253 nt
Filed under: uncultured bacterium
Lineage: Bacteria
Description: partial 16S ribosomal RNA
Rfam family: Bacterial small subunit ribosomal RNA
Source: RNAcentral
UACGUAGGGGGCGAGCGUUGUCCGGAGUUACUGGGCGUAAAGGGCACGCAGGCGGUGCUGCGCGUUUCGCGUGACAGCGGGUGGCUUAACUGCCCGAGGAUGCGAAAGACGGCAGGACUUGAGGGCCAGAGAGGGACACGGAAUUCCGGGUGGAGUGGUGAAAUGCGUAGAGAUCCGGAGGAACACCGAAGGCGAAGGCAGUGUCCUGGCUCUGUCCUGACGCUCAGGGGCGAAAGCGUGGGGAGCAAACAGG